Molecule: long non-coding RNA, 145 nt
Organism: Bradysia coprophila
Lineage: Eukaryota; Metazoa; Arthropoda; Insecta; Diptera; Sciaridae
Source: RefSeq, a predicted model, not a curated record
UCACAGCAGUGAAGUUUGUUCAUGAAAAAGUAAUUCAGUGACAGCGGACUUUUGAUGAAGAAAAGUACUAAAUUGUAAUAGAUUUUACCCUUAGUUUUCUAAACUACAUUCUCCUAUAGCUAUUAACGCACACAGUGUUUUAUGU